GACCUCAAAUCAGGUAAGAAUACCCGCUGAACUUAAGCAUAUCAAUAAGCGGAGGAAAAGAAAAUAACAAUGAUUCCCUCAGUAACGGCGAGCGAAGAGGGAUAAGCUCAAAUUUUAAAUCUGUUGGGUUCCACUUAACAGAGUUGUAUUUUGAAGAAACGUUUUCUGCAUCCAGGAUUAGCCUAAAUCCUUUGGGAUAAGGUAUCAUGGAGGGUGAGAAUCCCGUUCAUGGUUAAUCUUAAGGAAGCUCUACGAUACGUUUUCCAAGAGUCGAGUUGUUUGGGAUUGCAGCUCAAAAUGGGAGGUAAAUUUCUCCUAAGGCUAAAUAUUGGCGAGAGACCGAUAGCGAACAAGUACCGUGAGGGAAAGAUGAAAAGAACUUUGAAAAGAGAGUUAAACAGUACGUGAAAUUGUUGAAAGGGAAACGAUUGAAGUCAGUCAUACCAACGGGAAAUCAACCUUUUGAGUUUGGUCUCGUGGGUUUUGAAGAGUUUCAAAGCCUUCGGAUUCGCGGGAUUGGGAUCUCUUGGUGUACUUUUUCGUACGGUUAGUCAACAUCGGUUUUGAAUGUCAUAAAAUGACUGGAGGAAUGUAGCUUCGAUCUCGUAUUGAAGUGUUAUAGCCUUUGGUAGAUGUGAUGUUUGAGACCGAGGAUUGCAACGGAUACCCUUCAGGGCUAUUCGUCUGAUCUCUGAUACGUUGCCUUGAUGUUGAAAGCUUGCUUAUGAUGUUAGGGUAUUACGGUCAAAAGGUUAGAACGGAUUAGAUUCGUUAAGGAUGUUGACGUAAUGACUUUAAACGACCCGUCUUGAAACACGGACCAAGGAGUCUAACAUAUAUGCGAGUGUUUGGGUGAUUAAACCCUUGCGCGUAAUGAAAGUAAUUUUGGUGAGAUCCGGGAAAAAAUUUUCGGAGCAUCAUCGACCGAUCAGGAUAUUUUUUGAUAGAUUUGAGUAAGAGCA
Molecule: ribosomal RNA, 962 nt
Filed under: Funneliformis mosseae
Lineage: Eukaryota; Fungi; Glomeromycota; Glomeromycetes; Glomerales; Glomeraceae
Description: eukaryotic LSU rRNA
Rfam family: Eukaryotic large subunit ribosomal RNA
Source: RNAcentral